GGCGAGAGUAGUUCAGUGGUAGAACACUAGCUUCCCAAGCUAGUUGCCGCGGGUUCGAUCCCCGUUUCUCGCUCCAA
RNAcentral lists this transfer RNA (77 nucleotides) under Clostridium botulinum A str. Hall. RNAcentral describes it as "tRNA-Gly". It matches the Rfam family "tRNA". From Rfam's summary of the family: Transfer RNA (tRNA) molecules are approximately 80 nucleotides in length. Their secondary structure includes four short double-helical elements and three loops (D, anti-codon, and T loops). RNAcentral also lists the same sequence under 6 other names. Lineage: Bacteria; Bacillati; Bacillota; Clostridia; Eubacteriales; Clostridiaceae. The record is from RNAcentral.